UUUUUUCUAACGCGGGAUAAAAUUAGACAAAAAUAUUUAACAAAAUUCAUAAUUGCUCAAUUUGAACUAGUAGAGAGUCAAGGGAUUUUCCAUGCCUAAAACCCUCUGAUUUCAUCACAACUUCUCCAUUUCCUCCAUACAUUUCCAAGCAGUUCUACGUAUCGGAUGGCCACCGCCGCCGCAUCGGCCGCCGCCAGGUCCGUUUUCCGGUCACCAUCUGUCCGCAAUUCCGCUUCCAAAAUAGCAUCCGAAUCGAAAACUGCUCCUUCAUCUUUUCGCGCAGCUUCUAGAAGUGCUCUCUCCAAUCGUAUCUUCAGGUGUCCGGCUGAGAUGAGCGCUUGUGUGGAGUCACUGCAACCAUACCACACAGCCACUGCUUCGGCCUUGAUGACUUCCAUGCUGACUGUCUCAAUGCACAGUUACGGUUGGCUAUCAGAAGGUAUCUAGCAACACCUAUAGGGCCCUCCUUUGAUGUCCUUUUCCUUGUUUUAAGAUUUUGCUCAAAAUGACGAUGUGUGAUGAUUCUUUUGGGGGAGCUGGAGCAAAUAUUACCAGUUUGUUCUUCCUAACGACGUGGUGCCAACUGCCAUGUAAAGAAGUUAUAUGAGAGAAUAGCCAACUGCCGUGGUAUUCUGCAUUUCCAAACAUUGACGAACUGGAUCUUAACCUUUUGGAACACUUGGAGAAAAAUAUCAAUCUUCUUGGAGCUCACUUGAUAUAGCGACGAUAUAUUUUGUAGAUUUUGGAAUCAUUUUAAACUUUCUAUAUCAUGUUUUUGCUACACUAGGAUACUUGAGCUUUUCCUCCCAAUAAAUACCUGUUUCUCAAUCAGUUUGCAUCAGUGGUACAGAUUUUGUUGAAUUAUAACUACUUGUCAAUAAAAACACACUUAACAC
RNA transcript from Nicotiana attenuata, 896 nucleotides. It is a transcript of the gene named protein NUCLEAR FUSION DEFECTIVE 6, chloroplastic/mitochondrial, with no coding region annotated. The record is from RefSeq and is a predicted model, not a curated record. NCBI's taxonomy places the organism in Eukaryota, Viridiplantae, Streptophyta, Magnoliopsida, Solanales, Solanaceae. The transcript is spliced from 4 exons.